AAAUGCAUCCGUCCUGUAUAUAGCCAACUUACCCAAUCAUAUCUGAUCUCAGAAGCUAAGCAAGGUCAGGCCUGGUUAGUACUUGGGUGGCAGAAAUACUAAUUCAAGUCUGGUGAGUGCAUUUU
This 125-nucleotide ribosomal RNA is filed under the name Castor canadensis (American beaver). The record is from RNAcentral. Lineage: Eukaryota; Metazoa; Chordata; Mammalia; Rodentia; Castoridae.